ACAGAGGGUGCGAGCGUUGUCCGGAAUCACUGGGCGUAAAGGGCGCGUAGGCGGCCCGAUAAGUAGGGGGUGAAAUCCUGUGGCUUAACUGCAGGGCUGCCUCCUAGACUGUCAGGCUCGAGCACGGUAGAGGCAGAUGGAAUUCCCGGUGUAGCGGUGGAAUGCGUAGAGAUCGGGAAGAACAUCGGUGGCGAAGGCGGUCUGCUGGGCCGUUGCUGACGCUGAGGCGCGACAGCGUGGGGAGCAAACAGGA
This 253-nucleotide ribosomal RNA is filed under the name uncultured prokaryote. RNAcentral describes it as "partial 16S ribosomal RNA". It matches the Rfam family "Bacterial small subunit ribosomal RNA", at positions 525 to 777 of the family's 1533-position model. The record is from RNAcentral.